GACAGAGGGUGCAAACGUUGUUCGGAAUUACUGGGCGUAAAGCGCGUGUAGGCUGCUUCGCAAGUCGGAUGUGAAAGCCCUGGGCUCAACCCAGGAAGUGCAUUCGAAACUGCAGAGCUGGAGUCCUGGAGAGGAAGGCGGAAUUCUCGGUGUAGAGGUGAAAUUCGUAGAUAUCGAGAGGAACACCGGUGGCGAAGGCGGCCUUCUGGACAGUGACUGACGCUGAGACGCGAAAGCGUGGGUAGCAAACAGG
Molecule: ribosomal RNA, 253 nt
Filed under: uncultured bacterium
Lineage: Bacteria
Description: partial 16S ribosomal RNA
Rfam family: Bacterial small subunit ribosomal RNA
Source: RNAcentral